Molecule: ribosomal RNA, 405 nt
Filed under: Triticum aestivum (bread wheat)
Lineage: Eukaryota; Viridiplantae; Streptophyta; Magnoliopsida; Poales; Poaceae
Description: partial small subunit ribosomal RNA
Source: RNAcentral
AUGCAAGGAGUAUCAACAUAUUAUCGUGUGAUAAUUGAUCAAUUUAUGACUGAAGUGUUAAGAUUUUCAUAUCUUUGCAUCUUACUGAAGAAUAUGCUGGCUGCAAUCAAAACAACGUGUCCAGCAGAACUGGAAACCAUGAAAACUUUGGAAUGCGAAGGAAAUCAACCUGGGGCUACUUUAUACCUGCAAAAUAGGUCAAAGGAUAUUAUAGGAGUAGAAGCCAAUUAUGCUUUGAAGCUUGCAGACAACCCUCCAAAGAGAUUUAAGUUGGAUGAACAUGAAGUAGCAAUGCUGGGUAAAAAGCGAGCCAGGCGAACUGUGAUAAUUAAUGAUGAGGACGUAAAGCAAGCUGGCAUAAUGACAAUAUCAACACCCCAGGCUAGUGUCUCGUGGUGCUGGUGA